This 101-nucleotide transfer RNA is filed under the name Immersiella caudata. RNAcentral's name for it is "Cercophora caudata tRNA". It matches the Rfam family "tRNA". From Rfam's summary of the family: Transfer RNA (tRNA) molecules are approximately 80 nucleotides in length. Their secondary structure includes four short double-helical elements and three loops (D, anti-codon, and T loops). The record is from Rfam by way of RNAcentral. Lineage: Eukaryota; Fungi; Ascomycota; Sordariomycetes; Sordariales; Lasiosphaeriaceae.
GCCCGGCUAGCUCAAUCGGUACAGCGUGAGACUCUUAAGGAGUAUCUCCAAAAUCUCCAGAGAUCAUCUCAAGGUUGUGGGUUCGACCCCCACGUCGGGCU